ACCUACGGGAGGCAGCAGUAGGGAAUCUUCCACAAUGGACGAAAGUCUGAUGGAGCAACGCCGCGUGAGUGAAGAAGGGUUUCGGCUCGUAAAGCUCUGUUGGUAGUGAAGAAAGAUAGAGGUAGUAACUGGCCUUUAUUUUACGGUAAUUACUUAGAAAGUCACGGCUAACUACGUGCCAGCAGCCGCGGUAAUACGCAGGUGGGAAGCGUUGUCCGGAUUUAUUGGGCGUAAAGCGAGGGCAGGCGGUACAACAAAGUUUGAGUGGAAACCUUCGGCUCCACCCG
This 287-nucleotide ribosomal RNA is filed under the name uncultured bacterium. Its description in RNAcentral is "partial 16S ribosomal RNA". It matches the Rfam family "Bacterial small subunit ribosomal RNA", at positions 337 to 616 of the family's 1533-position model. The record is from RNAcentral.